AGGCAGCUAACAGUGCUGAGCUUAAUUUAAAACGUGGGGAUAUUGUAUUGGUAAUUCCUUCUGAGACCACAGCUGCUCAGGUAAAAUGGAUGGCACUUAAGAGAACCAAUAAGAAAUCUUCCUUUUGAGUGAUUGUGCUGCUGAGGAUUUGGAUUGCAGUAUUGCAUGUCAAGAGCUGGCUUAGGCUGAAGUUUCCAGGAAUUUCUGAAAGAGGAGGCUGGCUGGUUGGCAGGCAUUAAGGAAUCUGAGUGGCUUCAGUACAGAGAUGCAAAGAGUUCUAAAGGACUUUUCCCGGAGAACUUCACACGCCAUCUGGAACAGCUCUUCUCACAGGCACAGAAUGUAGCAUGAAGCUCAGUCAGUAGGUUUUUAACCUCUUUGUAACACGGGAGCCCACUUUUUUGUAGUUCAGGCUGCUAAUGGUUUGCGGAUUGGUGCCAGACAAAGCUUGUUGAAGCAUAUCAAGAUGAGCAUGAGUGCAAACAAUUCAGCUAGCAAUUUCUGAAGCAGUGCGUGAAAAAAAAAAACAAAAUAAAACCAGAAAUGUCCUUAUUUGUUCACAUGUACGUGGCACCAGGUUUGUUUGUGCUUUGUCAGAGCUGUGGUGAUCCUGUAUUUGGUCCUUUCCCAUGAAAUCCCAAAUUAGGCUCCUGGGUACCAAAACCUGAACUUCUCUGCACUGAGUGUACUGUAUUGAGUUGCACUGCAGAAAAUUUAAUGAGUAAUCCUGUAGUAAUGAGGGCAAACUAUCCUAAGUUUCAUGUGUUUAAAAAAUGUAAUUAACUGCUGCAACGUUUUUCAGAGUUACUUUUGGACACGCAUAAUAUCUAUGCACAGGAAGUUGAAUGUGUACCUAUAAGUGCAUAUGGGUAUAUAUGCAUUUUAACAAUUUCACUUCAGUUCUUUGACUGUGUGGUGUCAUCAGGGCAUGCAUUGCUCUCUCACUGUCUGGCAUUACAGGAAACAUUUUGUUCCAAAGCAAAACUGGCUGCCAUUGCCAAAGCACUGAACAGUGUCCAUGUUAGCAAUGCGACAUUUUCGUUCUGAGAUGAUGAAUAACAUCGUUUUCAAAGCUGCUAAACCUUUGAGAAGGCAUGGCUCAGUUUCCUCUUCCAGCUGCAGUAGUUACAGUGAGAUAAUCUGGAAGGGGAACUGUUAUGAUGCUCAUCUGUACUUUUUUAUUUAAUUGGCUGAAUAAUAAUUAAAAAAAAAACACAACAAAAUUAAUCUCUGAGAAAUAAGCAUAACAUAUUUUCACAAUAGGUAUUUAUGCAGCAUACCUUCACAAAUCCUUUUAAAUUAAGAUAUAUAAUGUAUCCUGUAUCAAAAAGUCAUCUGUAACUUCUGUUUUCCAGUGCUGUGUCAUUAGAAAUAAACCUUUGAUCCAAA
Molecule: non-coding RNA, 1389 nt
Organism: Meleagris gallopavo (turkey)
Lineage: Eukaryota; Metazoa; Chordata; Aves; Galliformes; Phasianidae
Source: RefSeq, a predicted model, not a curated record